Long non-coding RNA from Drosophila persimilis, 965 nucleotides. RefSeq lists it as uncharacterized. Lineage: Eukaryota; Metazoa; Arthropoda; Insecta; Diptera; Drosophilidae. The transcript is spliced from 3 exons. The record is from RefSeq and is a predicted model, not a curated record.
GCAUACGACACCCAAAGUUCUGUCCAAGAAUAUUUCCUUUGAGUGCUAUUUGUAUUGCAGAAGUAGUAGCCGUAGCGGAGUUCGGCAAAUUCUUCACAAACAAAAUAAUAAAUAUGAAUUCAAAUUUAAAUUACUGAAAAUGUUAGUAUCGCAUGUGCCACCUGACUGACUCGCCAGUGCGUAUGAAACGAUUAUCUUGAAGAGAGGAAAGCCCAAGAACUAAUCAGGCUGGUAUAGCUAGGCCUAUCCAAAAGGAUUAAAAUGGAAUACGAGUGCCAUACGAGGGUCAGUGCGCGCCAGUCGAACGUCUAAUCCUACACGAAAUUGACCUUUGAUUGGAGGAAAAUCAGCCCCACUGUCACCAACGUGCAUUAAGCAGGAACAGGAGGCCGUCCAAAGGACACACCACCCCCGAAGCAGCCAACCCACACAACGACAAAUGUCGCCAUCAUCGGCCUCGAUGCUGCCGCCACUCCAGCAGCAGCAGAAACUCCGACCGCGACGACUGCUGCCUGGAGAACGAGCCGGUUGCAUCUCUCGAGGCGGCAAAUGGUGGCAUUUUCUCUCUGGAUGCCGGCAAUCUGACAGCGGAGACAGCUUUCCUUGCCGCUGGCCCCGGGGGCCUGGGAAUACGCUACAGGCGGCGACACAGCGCGGAGAAGUUGAGUGCAUAAGACUUGAAAAUAUGGUUUCAGCAAAUCGAGGAAUUUGGCUUCCAGCCUCAGGGCGAGCACCUGAUCACCGGAUGUGAUGGAUCCGCAACCAGCAGGAGAAAAACGAGGAGCACGAGCACCACGAUCACCACGAGGCACUCUUUCCACACACACACACAUAUAGUAUAGACGCCAUACAUCCACAUCAACAUAAACAUGCUCUUAGACCGCUCGACUCGUUGUCGACUCGGAUGACGUCCACAUUUGUUACCAGAGAUAAUUAUAAUUUAAUAAAAGAAAAAGAAAAUUUAA